UUUUGUGAUGACUUUGACAAUCACAAUAGAUUACGUGUUAAUGUGAUUGUAUCAAUCAUCAAAAAAACACUAAACAUUUGCGUGAUUGUCAAAACCAUCACGUAAAACUUUUCAUGAUGGGCGUAUACAAGACGACCGUUGUGAUGCUUAAAGCCAUCACGUAAACCUUUUGUGAUGGUUUUCCUACUUUUUGUGAUGAAUUUUGGCCAUCACAAAUGACCAUUUUUUUAGUAGUGU
Molecule: long non-coding RNA, 237 nt
Filed under: Panax ginseng (ginseng)
Lineage: Eukaryota; Viridiplantae; Streptophyta; Magnoliopsida; Apiales; Araliaceae
Description: long non-coding RNA (PGIN_LNC013455)
Source: RNAcentral